AGAGAGAACUCACGGUAAAAUUGUAGCUGCGGAGUGCCUCUUACAGAAUGCUUUUAAGCAUUUGCCCUGAAGCUACCUUGCAGUUUUCUGUGCCUACUCGUCUUUGAGGUCGAGCUUGACUGCCUAGAAGGUAUCAGACCAGAGGGGAACUCAGGACAUGCCUCAGCCCCAGGUCCUGUAUAUCUCUUCAGUUGUUCAUACCUGAGACUAGAAUUAAAGAUGCCAGUACAACCACCAAAAGAUGCUAGGCACUCAGAACCAGUUUCAAUUGGAGUUGAGCACUGAAGUACAAGGGUAGCCUACAAAAUGCACAAUGUUCAAUGUUCUCUGAUGGUCACAAGGGAUCCUAAAACAUUGU
Cygnus atratus (black swan) is the source of this 358-nucleotide long non-coding RNA. RefSeq lists it as uncharacterized. The record is from RefSeq and is a predicted model, not a curated record. The transcript has 3 exons. Lineage: Eukaryota; Metazoa; Chordata; Aves; Anseriformes; Anatidae.